This 306-nucleotide ribosomal RNA is filed under the name uncultured Tomentella. Its description in RNAcentral is "eukaryotic LSU rRNA". The stretch from base 251 to 306 matches the Rfam family "Eukaryotic large subunit ribosomal RNA", at positions 1 to 56 of the family's 3401-position model. The record is from RNAcentral. Lineage: Eukaryota; Fungi; Basidiomycota; Agaricomycetes; Thelephorales; Thelephoraceae.
AUUCCGAAGGGCAUGCCUGUUGAGUAUCAUGAACACCUCAACUCUCACGGUUCGCCGCGAUGAGCUUGGACUUUGGGGGUUUGCUGGCCUAUGGUCAACUCCUCUUAAAUGGAUCAGCUUGCCAGUGUUUGGUAGCGUCGCAGGUGUGAUAACUAUCUACGCUUGUGGUUGCUGCCAGGUAACCUUCAGUGAUGGAGGUUCUCUGGAGCUCAUAAACGUCUCUCCUCAGUGAAGACAGCUUUUGAACGUUCGAUCUCAAAUCAGGUAGGACUACCCGCUGAACUUAAGCAUAUCAAUAAGCGGAGG